GAUGAAGAACGCAGCGAAAUGCGAUACGUAAUGUGAAUUGCAGAAUUCAGUGAAUCAUCGAAUCUUUGAACGCAUAUUGCGCUCUCUGGUAUUCCGGAGAGCAUGCUUGUUUGAGUAUCAGUAAACACCUCAACUCUUUUUUCUUUUUUGAAAUUGGAGCUGGACUUGAGUGAUCCCAACGCUUUCUUCCAAGAAAGUGGCGGGUUGCUUGAAAUGCAGGUGCAGCUGAACUUUUCUCUGAGCUAUAAGCAUAUCUAUUUAGUCUGCCUAAAAAACAGAUUAUUACCUUUGCUGCAGCUAACAUAAAGGAGACUAGUUCUUGUGCUGACUGAUGCAGGAUUCACAGAGACAGCUUCGGCUGACAUUGUAAACUCGAUCUCAAAUCAAGUAAGACUACCCGCUGAACUUAAGCAUAUCAAUAAGCGGAGGA
This 430-nucleotide unclassified non-coding RNA is filed under the name soil metagenome. RNAcentral describes it as "partial contains 5.8S ribosomal RNA, internal transcribed spacer 2, and large subunit ribosomal RNA". The stretch from base 1 to 120 matches the Rfam family "5.8S ribosomal RNA", at positions 35 to 154 of the family's 154-position model. The record is from RNAcentral.